Dermacentor albipictus is the source of this 2098-nucleotide long non-coding RNA. RefSeq lists it as uncharacterized. The record is from RefSeq and is a predicted model, not a curated record. Lineage: Eukaryota; Metazoa; Arthropoda; Arachnida; Ixodida; Ixodidae.
UGCCGUUAUCAUCACCGCUCUUGAUACCUUCGGCGACAGCGAGCGAUUAUGUCCAGUACGAGCUUUGCCCUGGUGCCACCUUCCCAUCAUGGUCAAGCACGGCAUCAGCACUGCCACCGACAGCAUCUUGCCACCGGGAUUUAAACGACUUGCAUCGGCUUUCCGCCUUCAGUGGACACGGGAGAGCAGCGACGAUGUUGUUGCUCAAAAUCGCCUUCAGCUUUCAUAUGCAGUGAUUGCAGCACAGACCACCAAGACACAGUCCUUGAAUAGAAGAUUUCUUCCUGUUGGCCUCUCAUGGGCUGUUAUUGCUGCAGAUACGUCCGCCUUUUCGUUUCCCGGGAUUCUCACGUGGCUUGGAAUCCAACAGAGACGAAUUACUUUACCGUGAUUUUCACUUUCGCCGAGCAUACUGAGGAUGCUGCCGAGAAGAGGUAUUUUGCCCAUUUCCCCAGGUCACAUUGAAGAAACGUGACAGGGCCUCCACUGCUUUCUGGGACAGAACACCAAGUUGCCGAAGCCAUAAAAGUGAGCAGACGAGUUGCCGGUGCCACCUGGUAGAGCAGACUUUAACCAGACAGGACACAUCUAUUAUUGUAAGUAACCAACAAUAUUCUACUUAGCUGCUGGUGUAAAGUGUUGGCAGUGGCAUGAUUGAUAACAUGCAGCUUUUUUCAAUUCUUUGACAAUAACACCCAUGUAACACAAGAGCAUGUGCAGCACGUUGUGGCUGAACAAAGCAUCACAAGACAUCCUUACCAGCAUUGUUGCUGCAUUUCACACCUCCAAUAACUAAUACUGCAUAAAACAAGUCCAUUUAUUGGCAAUAAUAAGCUGUCUCACCUCACUUAAAUUUUUUGUUAAACUAGUUCAGUCACAGAAAAGUCAAUAACUGUACAUUGGCAUCUGUAGUGUGAAUUUAACACUACCAGCUUUGGAGGCUUAGUGGCUAUGGAGUUGCGCUGCUGAGCUCAAGGUCACCGAUUCAGUUCCUGGACACCAGGCCACAUUCCAACGGAAAUGAAAUCCAAAAGCGCUGAUGUACCAUGCUUCAGGUGCACGUCAGCUACAGAAUGAAAUGGCAAUUACAUAAUGUUGCCCAUGGUGGUGCCCACCCUGCUUUUUUUAGGCCAAACAGCUAGCCUUUCUGACUCGCCCUAUUCACAAGAAGUGAAUGGUGGUGUAGACUUUCACAACCCUUCAUAAAGAAUUGCAGGCAGUUGACCAGAGCCCACCACUAUGGUGUCGCCCAUAGCCUAUUAUGCCAGCUUCAGGACAUUAAACCCUACAGUUUAUUUACACACUAAAAUUACAAUGUUCACGAACACUAGCUUCAAACUGCGUUUUAGCAAAGCCGCAUGUCAAUGCACUGAAGCAUCCAUAUUAAACAUAUGCUAGCUCAACAUGGAGUGUACCCAAAUUAGAAUCCACUGAACGACAUUCAGUCGAUUUGUGCAAAUGGAUUUGUUCCACUGGAUAUCUCAAAUGUGCUCUCCAACCCUCCACAAAGUCACUUUGGCACUUUGUCAGAACCUCAAUGAUGCAAAAGUGAAAAAUGGUGUAUUUUUUAUCUGCUGCUCAGUCAUGUGCAGGUAUUUCUGGUGCAGGGGGCCUGCAGACAAAAAAAAUCACUGAGUGCAUACCUCAUUUUCAAAAACUGACUGCUGGAAAUAAUUUUAUAUGCUAUUAUAAGUAGGCAAGUUGCAAGUGAAGCAUUUAGAGCUUCACAAGCUGCCUAAGAGGGAAACAAGAGCACCUCUAUCCACUUUUAUGCUUGUAAGACAUGCUUUAAAAGAAGUAUAUUGUAAGUUUACUCAGCAUCACGGUUUCUAUAUGCCAGCUCAAGACAUGGGCAUUUUUGCAUCUUGCCCCCAUCAAAACACGACCACUGGAGCAGGGAAUUUAACCUGUGAUCUCAAGCUCAGCAGCACAACUCCAUAGCCGCUAAGCCACUGCUACGGGUUUGUCUGGUUCAUCAGACCCACAGCAGCUGUCACUAUAGAAGCCUCACCUGAUGGCAGAAUUAAAACUUACGUAAACUGCGUUUGUAACUACUAUUCAAAAGCAUUUUUCAUUCUCAAUCUGUACAUUGCUGACA